GUAGAUGAUGAAUAUGCACUGGGCUCAGAGCAGUUUUUGUAGAGAUGGAUAUUUGCAACCCAGAAAGCCAUGUCUGAUCU
This is a small nucleolar RNA of Tripterygium wilfordii, 80 nucleotides long. Lineage: Eukaryota; Viridiplantae; Streptophyta; Magnoliopsida; Celastrales; Celastraceae. The record is from RefSeq and is a predicted model, not a curated record.